UUAUAUGUUGAGUAUGAAAUUGUAACUCCCCCGAUUUCCAUCAUCAGGACCUCAAGAAUCAAUGCCAGUUUUACAUUGAAAAUUCAUACUUCCUAUAUUUUCCAAGUACUGACUACUUACAGAUUGAAUAGUUUCUUUGACAUUCUUAACAUAGUCUUUAUCUAUUAAUAAAUUAUUAUCAAAUUUCCAAAGACCAAACCUUCUCUUGCAGGGAUUAAAUUUUAAUUCAAAUAUAAUAAUAGAAAGAUGAAAUCUAUAUCCCGGCUUUAUGGUACACUAUCGGAAAUAAGAAAAUAGUCCAGACGACUUUGUUUUUAGGGGAUUUUUUUACGUCCUGUUUACACUUUUUUAAAUCUGGAUUUAGAACUCUCUAAUAAUCCAGGAGUUGUAAGUCCUCCAUUAUUUCUAGACUUAGGAUUAUUAAUACCACGAUAAUUUGGUGAAGAUUUGGAGUUAUUUGCAUUAAGAAGUGGAGGAAAAUGACAUUCUUCCCAUGGUGGUGAGGAAUAUGUCAUUGUGAUGAGGAACAUAACAUUCUUAUUAUGCUGAUGAGAAAUAAAUGUCAUUUUUACCAUGGUGAAAAUUUUAUAGAGAUAAUUUUUAUUAAGGAAUCAUGUUGAUGAAAUUUCGUCAGAAAUUAAUACACGUAUCAUUUAGGUUUAAGUCUGUCUUAGGCAUUUUAUACCUUGAGACUUUUAUUCCACCAAUGCCUUACGUGCUUAAGAGUAGAAACAUUAUAAAACAAUUUGAACAAGAAAAUAAAAACAAGCAUACAUACAAAAGUUACAUGUGUUGGAAGAUCACAUAAAAUUGCUUAAUAUUGACAUCAAUCUUGCAGGAUUUACUUAACUCAAUAGGAACACAAGUAUCAUGAAUAUUCAUGAAAUCAGAGGAAGCUAAUAAUAUAUUUCUAUUUUUGCAUUUUACCCCUUAUCUGCAGUACGUGAAAUCACCACUGAACAAAUAAAGAAACUGAUCACCCAGUUCUUAUAAAUCAAAACGCCAACAAAUUCUUUCACUUAAAAUUUACCAGCCUCAAUCGGGAGUUUGUGACUACUACAUCUAGAUUUGAGUACAUGAGAUCAACAGACAAAAUAUGGAAAUACUUUUAAAAGCCAGAUUUACUCUCUCUCUCUGUCUCUCUGUCUCUCUCUCUCUCUGUGUGUGUGCAUAAAUUCGCACUUGAAACAUGCACAUUUUUUAAACAACCGGUUGAGAGAAUUCUUAAACUAUUUCUGCACUUCCUAUCUUGUAUGUAAAAAGCAGUGAGGGGAAACAUCCCAAAAUGCAUGCUUGAUUGAAGAUGAUCCGACCUCUCCCCAAUGGGCCCAUGACGAAGUACUGGAUCUUCCAGAGAACCCGAAAUUCAUAGUUUGCCCUGAUGCAUUUCUAUGUUAUUAAGAAUAUAGAAAAAAUUACAAAUAUUACUGAGAAUACUGACAGUUAGAAGAGAAAGAACAAACGCUAUUCUAUCCUCGAAACGAAAUCCAUCCAAGUCAAUGAAAAAUUCAUCUCUUUCUUUCCCUUUUUCUUUUCUUCCAAUUUUAAUUUUUAUAUUUAUUUAUUUGCAGAUGGAUAUUCGCACAUACGCCUGGAUGCCCACUGGUUGAAACAUUUCAGACUGCAUUUGACUUUUCUAUUUGUUUUAUCUUUUACAAAUUGCAAUUUCAUCAUAAAAUUCCCUUAAUGUCUGUCAAAGUUCAGUAAUAUAACUUUUUACAACAGAUUCUCAGAUCAGUGUAAAGAGGAAGGAAGGAAGUGGAGAAUGGAAGGACAUCCAUUGAAUUGAAGUCUGUGUUGCUAAGGAUACCAUCGAGGCUCGGAACUCAACAGAAAGGAAUGCCACCUUUAUGAUGGCAAGGAGGAAAAAUGGCGACGAGGAGUAAAUCUAACAACGGCUUUUAAAUGAAACAGGUUCGGUGAAGUUAAAAAAAAAAUUACACCAGCGGUAGACCAGCGUGAGAACGUAUUCUUGUUGUCGAGUUUUUUGUUAAGUUGGAUAGUUAUUGCUAAAAGAUGAAAAGGUGAUGCUUCAAAAUUAUUUUGAAAUUGCAGACGGUGAAAGGAAUGGAAUUUAAAAUACAUUAAAAUAUUUUUUUGAACCCGUGUCCCGUUCGUAAAUAGAGCACCCUUGAUGCCGCUGCAUUGUCUGACUUCUGACAAACAAGCAGGAAAGCGUCCACACAAUAGGGCCAUUAUCACUUAACUGCACAAGUACAACACACCGGGGACAGAGAGCUGAUCUGCAGGCAUAUUCGGGAAACGUGUGUAUAAUCUUUGGGAGAUUUUUUUCAGAUAGAUAAACACAUAGUAAUCAAUAAGUUAAAAAAAAUGUCUGGUUCACUUCGCUGAAUGAUGCCAUGGUGAAGUAGCUUGUCGUAGAGAAAUUCAUUGAAGAAGAAAUCGUGACAAGAGAACAAACGGGUAGUUAAAUCUGGAGUGUCAAACUUAAAACCCAAGGUAAACAUUCUACAGAGAGAAACCUUUCAUUAUCUACAGUGUAGUAUUGGGUUUGAAUAUUUCAGCGAGACUAUGAGAAGUUUGAUUUAUGUAAGUGUAACCAGUUCUUGUAUAAAUGGCCAUACUAUCUUCUGUUACUGAAAUACAAAACUUAUGAAUUUAAUUCAACAAAUUAUAUAUAUUGGCAUUGCAAAGAUCAAA
This is a long non-coding RNA of Ostrea edulis (European flat oyster), 2661 nucleotides long. RefSeq lists it as uncharacterized. The transcript is spliced from 2 exons. Lineage: Eukaryota; Metazoa; Mollusca; Bivalvia; Ostreida; Ostreidae. The record is from RefSeq and is a predicted model, not a curated record.